This 920-nucleotide ribosomal RNA is filed under the name Alteromonas sp. RNAcentral's name for it is "bacterial SSU rRNA". It matches the Rfam family "Bacterial small subunit ribosomal RNA", at positions 60 to 977 of the family's 1533-position model. The record is from RNAcentral. Lineage: Bacteria; Pseudomonadati; Pseudomonadota; Gammaproteobacteria; Alteromonadales; Alteromonadaceae.
AGUCGAACGGUAGCAGGAAGUGCUUGCACUUUGCUGACGAGUGGCGGACGGGUGAGUAAUGCUUGGGAACUUGCCUUUGCGAGGGGGAUAACAGUUGGAAACGACUGCUAAUACCGCAUAAUGUCUACGGACCAAACGGGGCUUAGGCUUCGGCGCAGAGAGAGGCCCAAGUGAGAUUAGCUAGUUGGUGGGGUAAAGGCUCACCAAGGCGACGAUCUCUAGCUGUUCUGAGAGGAAGAUCAGCCACACUGGGACUGAGACACGGCCCAGACUCCUACGGGAGGCAGCAGUGGGGAAUAUUGCACAAUGGGGGGAACCCUGAUGCAGCCAUGCCGCGUGUGUGAAGAAGGCCUUCGGGUUGUAAAGCACUUUCAGUUGUGAGGAAAAGUGAGUAGUUAAUACCUGCUCACCGUGACGUUAACAACAGAAGAAGCACCGGCUAACUCCGUGCCAGCAGCCGCGGUAAUACGGAGGGUGCGAGCGUUAAUCGGAAUUACUGGGCGUAAAGCGCACGCAGGCGGUUUGUUAAGCUAGAUGUGAAAGCCCCGAGCUCAACUUGGGAUGGUCAUUUAGAACUGGCAGACUAGAGUCUUGGAGAGGGGAGUGGAAUUCCAGGUGUAGCGGUGAAAUGCGUAGAUAUCUGGAGGAACAUCAGUGGCGAAGGCGACUCCCUGGCCAAAGACUGACGCUCAUGUGCGAAAGUGUGGGUAGCGAACAGGAUUAGAUACCCUGGUAGUCCACACCGUAAACGCUGUCUACUAGCUGUUUGUGGCUUUAAGCCGUGAGUAGCGAAGCUAACGCGAUAAGUAGACCGCCUGGGGAGUACGGCCGCAAGGUUAAAACUCAAAUGAAUUGACGGGGGCCCGCACAAGCGGUGGAGCAUGUGGUUUAAUUCGAUGCAACGCGAAGAACCUUACCUA